CUACGGAGGAUGCAAGCGUUAUCCGGAUUUAUUGGGUUUAAAGGGUGCGUAGGCGGUUUGCUAAGCGGGAGGUGAAAUGCCGGCGCUCAACGUCGGAAGUGCCUCCCGAACUGGUGGACUGGAAUGACUCUGCCGUGGGAGGAAUGUGUAGUGUAGCGGUGAAAUGCUUAGAGAUUACACAGAACACCGAUUGCGAAGGCAUCUCACGAAGGGUUGAUUGACGCUGAGGCACGAAAGCGUGGGGAUCAAACAGGAUUAGAUACCCUGGUAGUCCACGCAGUAAACGAUGAUGGCUAACCGCUGGUUUAUUCGGAUCAGUGGCCAAGCGAAAGCGAUAAGCCAUCCACCUGGGGAGUACGACCGCAAGGUUGAAACUCAAAUGAAUUGACGGGG
Molecule: ribosomal RNA, 393 nt
Filed under: uncultured bacterium
Lineage: Bacteria
Description: partial 16S ribosomal RNA
Rfam family: Bacterial small subunit ribosomal RNA
Source: RNAcentral